UAGGGAAUCUUCCACGAUGGGCGAAAGCCUGAUGGAGCAACGCCGCGUGUGUGAUGAAGGGUUUCGGCUCGUAAAACACUGUUGUAAGAGAAGAAUGACAUUGAGAGUAACUGUUCAAUGUGUGACGGUAUCUUACCAGAAAGGAACGGCUAAAUACGUGCCAC
RNAcentral lists this ribosomal RNA (164 nucleotides) under uncultured bacterium. RNAcentral's name for it is "partial 16S rRNA". It matches the Rfam family "Bacterial small subunit ribosomal RNA", at positions 355 to 511 of the family's 1533-position model. The record is from RNAcentral.